Molecule: ribosomal RNA, 627 nt
Filed under: uncultured soil bacterium
Lineage: Bacteria
Description: bacterial SSU rRNA
Rfam family: Bacterial small subunit ribosomal RNA
Source: RNAcentral
GCUGGCGGCAGGCCUAAACAUGCAAGUCCAACGCCGUAGCAAUACGGAGUGGCAGAYGGGUGAGUAACACGUGGGAACGUGCCCUUUGGUUCGGAACAACACAGGGAAACUUGUGCUAAUACCGGAUAAGCCCUUACGGGGAAAGAUUUAUCGCCAGAGGAUCGGCCCGCGUCUGAUUAGCUAGUUGGUGAGGUAACGGCUCACCAAGGCUACGAUCAGUAGCUGGUCUGAGAGGAUGAUCAGCCACACUGGGACUGAGACACGGCCCAGACUCCUACGGGAGGCAGCAGUUAGGAAUCUUGGACAAUGGGCGCAAGCCUGAUCCAGCCAUGCCGCGUGAGUGAUGAAGGCCUUAGGGUUGUAAAGCUCUUUCAGCGGGGAAGAUAAUGACGGUACCCGCAGAAGAAGCCCCGGCUAACUUCGUGCCAGCAGCCGCGGUAAUACGAAGGGGGCUAGCGUUGCCCGGAAUCACUGGGCGUAAAGCGCACGUAGGCGGCUUUCUAAGUCAGGGGUGAAAUCCUGGAGCUCAACUCCAGAACUGCCCUUGAUACUGGAGAGCUUGAGUCCGGAAGAGGUGAGUGGAACUCCGAGUGUAGAGGUGAAAUUCGUAGAUAUUCGGAAGAACAC